GAUGAACGCUAGCGGCAGGCUUAAUACAUGCAAGUCGAGGGGCAGCAGGACUGUAGCACUCCAGUUGCUGGCGACCGGCAAACGGGUGCGGAACACGUACGCAACCUACCCAAAACUGGGGGAUAGCCCGGGGAAACCCGGAUUAAUACCUCGUAACCUUUUUAAGUGGCAUCACUUGAUAAGUAUAGCUCCGGCGGUUUUGGAUGGGCGUGCGCCUGAUUAGGUAGUUGGUGCGGGUAACGGCCCACCAAGCCUGCGAUCAGUAACUGGUGUGAGAGCACGACCAGUCACACAGGCACUGAGACACGGGCCCGACUCCUACGGGAGGCAGCAGUAAGGAAUAUUGGUCAAUGGACGCAAGUCUGAACCAGCCAUGCCGCGUGAAGGAUGAAGGUCCUCUGGAUUGUAAACUUCUUUUAUGGGGGACGAAACCCGGAUAUUCUUAUCCGAUUGACGGUACCUCAGGAAUAAGCACCGGCUAACUCCGUG
RNAcentral lists this ribosomal RNA (489 nucleotides) under uncultured bacterium. RNAcentral describes it as "partial 16S ribosomal RNA". It matches the Rfam family "Bacterial small subunit ribosomal RNA", at positions 28 to 507 of the family's 1533-position model. The record is from RNAcentral.